Molecule: ribosomal RNA, 119 nt
Filed under: Triticum aestivum (bread wheat)
Lineage: Eukaryota; Viridiplantae; Streptophyta; Magnoliopsida; Poales; Poaceae
Source: RNAcentral
GGAUGCGAUCAUACCAGCACUAAAGCACCGGAUCCCAUAAGAACUUUGAAGUUAAGCGUGCUUGGGCGAGAGUAGUACUAGGAUGGGUGACCUCCUGGGAAGUCCUCGUGUUGCAUUCC